UAGGGAAUCUUCGGCAAUGGACGGAAGUCUGACCGAGCAACGCCGCGUGAGUGAAGAAGGUUUUCGGAUCGUAAAGCUCUGUUGUUAGAGAAGAACGUUGGUAGGAGUGGAAAAUCUACCAAGUGACGGUAACUAACCAGAAAGGGACGGCUAACUACGUGCCAGCAGCCGCGGUAAUACGUAGGUCCCGAGCGUUGUCCGGAUUUAUUGGGCGUAAAGCGAGCGCAGGCGGUUCUUUAAGUCUGAAGUUAAAGGCAGUGGCUUAACCAUUGUACGCUUUGGAAACGGGAGGAAUUGAGUGCAGAAGGGGAGAGUGGAAUUCCAUGUGUAGCGGUGAAAUGCGUAGAUAUAUGGAGGAACACCGGUGGCGAAAGCGGCUCUCUGGUCUGUAACUGACGCUGAGGCUCGAAAGCGUGGGGAGCAAACAGG
This 429-nucleotide ribosomal RNA is filed under the name Bacillota bacterium. Its description in RNAcentral is "Firmicutes bacterium partial 16S ribosomal RNA". It matches the Rfam family "Bacterial small subunit ribosomal RNA", at positions 355 to 776 of the family's 1533-position model. Lineage: Bacteria; Bacillati; Bacillota. The record is from RNAcentral.